This 116-nucleotide ribosomal RNA is filed under the name uncultured bacterium. Its description in RNAcentral is "partial 16S ribosomal RNA". It matches the Rfam family "Bacterial small subunit ribosomal RNA", at positions 1358 to 1482 of the family's 1533-position model. The record is from RNAcentral.
UACGGUGAAUACGUUCCCGGACCUUGUACACACCGCCCGUCAAGCCAUGGAAGCUGGGUGUACCUAAAGUCGGUAACCGCAAGAAGCCGCCUAGGGUAAAACUAGUAACUGGGGCU